AACAUACUCCCUCCGUUCCAUAUUAAUUGUCGCUGAAAUGAAUGUAUGUAGACAUAUUUUAUUGCUAGAUACAUCCGUUUGAGCGGCAACUAAUAUGGAACGGAGGGAGUAUGUC
Molecule: non-coding RNA, 115 nt
Organism: Triticum aestivum (bread wheat)
Lineage: Eukaryota; Viridiplantae; Streptophyta; Magnoliopsida; Poales; Poaceae
Source: Rfam